AACGGGUGAGUAAUAUAUCGGAACGUACCCUGGAGUGGGGGAUAACGUAGCGAAAGUUACGCUAAUACCGCAUACGAUCUAAGGAUGAAAGUGGGGGAUCGCAAGACCUCAUGCUCCUGGAGCGGCCGAUAUCUGAUUAGCUAGUUGGUGGGGUAAAGGCCUACCAAGGCAUCGAUCAGUAGCUGGUCUGAGAGGACGACCAGCCACACUGGAACUGAGACACGGUCCAGACUCCUACGGGAGGCAGCAGUGGGGAAUUUUGGACAAUGGGCGAAAGCCUGAUCCAGCAAUGCCGCGUGAGUGAAGAAGGCCUUCGGGUUGUAAAGCUCUUUUGUCAGGGAAGAAACGGUGAGAGGCUAAUAUCCUGUGCUAAUGACGGUACGUGAAGAAUAAGCACCGGCUAACUACGUGCCAGCAGCCGCGGUAAUACGUAGGGUGCAAGCGUUAAUCGGAAUUACUGGGCGUAAAGCGUGCGCAGGCGGUUUUGUAAGUCUGUCGUGAAAUCCCCGGGCUCAACCUGGGAAUUGCGAUGGAGACUGCAAGGCUAGAAUCUGGCAGAGGGGGGUAGAAUUCCACGUGUAGCAGUGAAAUGCGUAGAGAUGUGGAGGAACACCGAUGGCGAAGGCAGCCC
Molecule: ribosomal RNA, 631 nt
Filed under: bacterium ATR812
Lineage: Bacteria
Description: bacterial SSU rRNA
Rfam family: Bacterial small subunit ribosomal RNA
Source: RNAcentral